Molecule: non-coding RNA, 94 nt
Organism: Acanthosepion pharaonis
Lineage: Eukaryota; Metazoa; Mollusca; Cephalopoda; Sepiida; Sepiidae
Source: the annotation of a GenBank genome assembly
GUUGAAACACGGGCUUCUGUACGACCACCGACGUUAAGCAAUGUCGAUUCUGGUCAGUACCUAGAUGGGUGACCGCUUGGGAAUACCAGGUGCU